Molecule: ribosomal RNA, 352 nt
Filed under: uncultured bacterium
Lineage: Bacteria
Description: bacterial SSU rRNA
Rfam family: Bacterial small subunit ribosomal RNA
Source: RNAcentral
AAUCAACGCUGGCGGCGCGCUUAACACAUGCAAGUCGAGCGAGAAAGGGGGAGCAAUCCCUGAGUACAGCGGCGUACGGGUGAGUAACACGUGGGUAAUCUGCCUUUUAGUGGGGAAUAACCCUGGGAAACCGGGGCUAAUACCGCAUAAUCCUGUGAAGGGAAAGCAGCAAUGCGCUGAAAGAGGAGCCCGCGGCCGAUUAGCUAGUUGGUGAGGUAACGGCUCACCAAAGCGGNGAUCGGUAGCCGGCCUGAGAGGGCACACGGCCACACUGGCACUGAAACACGGGCCAGACUCCUACGGGAGGCAGCAGUGGGGAAUCUUGCACAAUGGAGGCAACUCUGAUGCAGCG